RNAcentral lists this microRNA precursor (72 nucleotides) under Medicago truncatula (barrel medic). RNAcentral describes it as "MIR2629 microRNA precursor family". It matches the Rfam family "MIR2629 microRNA precursor family". Lineage: Eukaryota; Viridiplantae; Streptophyta; Magnoliopsida; Fabales; Fabaceae. The record is from Rfam by way of RNAcentral.
UGCCGAGAAAAACCUCGGUAGUUAACUGCAGUUGGUUUUGUGUUUCCUCUGCAGUUAACUACCGAUGGAUAU